RNAcentral lists this long non-coding RNA (300 nucleotides) under Elaeis guineensis (African oil palm). RNAcentral describes it as "long non-coding RNA (EGUI_LNC013030)". Lineage: Eukaryota; Viridiplantae; Streptophyta; Magnoliopsida; Arecales; Arecaceae. The record is from RNAcentral.
CACGUAUCUCCCGAUUAUGCUUCGGGAGAAGCUCGAAGAGAUAUGUCCAACCAUCAGAUGCCCCAUAAGAGAAUGUGAAAGAAGCCAUCUCUAUGAGGAGGGAGGAGUAGCCCCAUAGAAAGGCUGAAGACCUCUGUUUCGAGUGCUGCAUAAGUGUGGCCUCCAAUGGCCAUGGGUCCAAGUCCUCCAGUGCACUAGAGAAUUUCCAAUCCUUUCGAGCCAAGCUGCAGUCUGCAUAAUGACGCCCUUCUUUCAAAUGACUGGCGGCAGUCUGACCAGAAGAACUGUCUCUCCCGACCA